Molecule: long non-coding RNA, 7317 nt
Filed under: Citrus x clementina
Lineage: Eukaryota; Viridiplantae; Streptophyta; Magnoliopsida; Sapindales; Rutaceae
Description: Citrus clementina (C. clementina) long non-coding RNA (CCLE_LNC003138)
Source: RNAcentral
GCGGAGGGAACUAAGCCGGAGGAAGAAGAGGAGUCUGAGAAGUCUAUGUCAGAGGUGAAUGAUGAGGAUGAUGAUGAAGAAGGCAGUGGCGAGGUUUUUUUUUUGGGGAUGUUUUGAUUUUUAGUUUGACUUGUUAUCAUUGUUAUGUGGUUUUUCUUGAAUUUGUUUGUUGAUUUAUUGUUUUUGGUUUUGUGCAGGAGGAUGAUGAUGAAUAGAAGUUGAAGGAAGAAAUUAGCAUAGUCAUGUUAGGCUGUGACAAUGUUUCAAACAACAUAUGUUAAUGCUUUGUGCUUCCAUGUUAAUUUUUUUGGAUGCUUUCAUCAUCUUCAUCAUCAUGUAAGAGAAUCAUGUUGCUUCUCCCUCGACAUUUUCUUAUGCCUGCCUUUCGAAGAAUUAAUAGCUGUAGGUGGGAGAUUCACUGCUCUAUAUGUACUGUGUUCUAAAGCUUAAUGAUUUAGCUAAGGCGUUCCAUCGUUUGUAGAAAAAUCCCAUGUUUUUUGAUGAUGAAUGGUGGUGAUGGUUUUUUCUUAUCUUUUGUAAUGCUAAGGAAAUUAGUUACAUUUGCUAUAGUUAAUCUUUAACGCAUUUGCAUGGUUAGGUCAUGAUUGGAUUGCAUGAUGUCAUAUGGCUUAUGAUUGAGCAGCUUGGAUGCUGAAGUAUGUUUUUAAUGAAUGGAAUGUCUUAAAAUAAUUUAUUUUGAUAAUAAGCACAUUGAAGUGCUAAAUUGUUUGUCAAUCUGUGGCUGCAAAUUGGUAGAGUAGAAUUCAUCCUUUGUGGCAUUGCCAGUGCUAAAUUUCAAGCAUUCAAGUGCAAUAUAAAUUAUCUUUUCUGGUUACAAUGUGUUUGGUGCCUUUUGCCUAAUCACAUAGUUAUUGUUUGGCUCAGAAAAAUGUUAUGCGUCAGCUCCUUUAUGCAGUUUUGAGGAAAACCUUUUUGACUUUUUACUUGAAGAUGGUGCUGCCGGACAAAAGUAUUUGCUGUUUUGCUCGCUGUGAUUAAUAGAUUAAACGGCCAAGCAAUUUCUAGUCAUUCGUGGGUUGGGUUAAUUUUUACAAAUUGGAAUAUGUUGGAUGGUUCAGCUAUAUAUGAUUGAUUUUUGGAAAUAAUCAGUUUAUUGGCAAUAAAUUAUGAAUAGUGUAGUGGAUCGAAAUAAAAGAUGGAGAAGACAUUUUGGAAUAAGAAUUGGGCUUAUUAUUAGAUGGAGACUGUUCAAUGAAUGUGUAAGAAAAUAUUUGAAGAAAAUAGUAAAAAAAGGUAUUUGGGUAAAUAUUAUAUGAGGUAACAUAUUACUAUGAUAGGCUAAUCAAGGUAUAUUUGAUUGUUAACGAUGAAGCAAGUACAAAUAGAUCUGUAUGUGUCGAUAAUAAAUGGUUGUAAUUUGAAUUUAUUGAGUGAUUGAAUAGGCGUGGUUGGUAGGAAAGAUAUUUCAUAAAAAGAAAAUAAAAAUACCCACGCGAGCUACGGACACACAAAGACAAUGGGAAACCUAGAAAAUUAAUUCGAGAGGGGUGCAAUUGAAAAAGAAAAUAUUACGAGGGCAGUAUCCAACAAUAACCUAACAAAAAGAAUACCAAUUAUAAAUAUUUUUUCUCAAAAUUGUCGGCAAAAUCCACAAAAGAAUAAUUUUUAUAUACAUGAACCUGUCAAAAAAUUGUCACUCUAAACAGGAUCAUCAACGUACAUAAAAAAGAUAAAAUUGAUUUAAUUCAUCGACCUCAAAAUAAUUACUAGCCUUUUUGAAAAUUGAUCAUUAUUCAUCAACCAAACGUUAUUAAAAUUAAAUUAUUGUUACUCCAUAAUCAUAACCCCAGCAAGAGAAAUCAAAAUCAGUCAAUAACCCCAAUAUUUUCAUUUUUUCAAAUCAGCAGCGGCUUUCGAGGAAGAGGAAGAAAGGCCAGUUGCCUAGUGACUUUUCUAGCCCGUAAAUCCACCAUGUAUUUUUUCAUUUUUUUAAUAAUCUAACAGCCGUUCGAUUUCUGACUCUAUACCCAACGGUAAACUAUUAUUUGUCCGUUAGUUACGAGUCCCCCUUUUAAAUGUAUUGACAGAACAGAUACGUGAUAUUUUUUUCGGUAUUGGAAGCAGAUUUUUCACUUUAGUGCCGGCAGAAUCUAAAUUCUUUUAAGAGCUAGAUAUUUAGAAUAAAAUAUUAAUAUAUUGUAAAUAUCUUCACUCAUUAUCGAGUCGGAUACGAUGGAUGUUGGGCACAUGGGCAACGGACGGCCAUCUCACAAAUUUAACGAAUUGUCGCGGCGCAGCGUGGUUUAAAGUUAUUCCUCUGUUUGUUAAACCUGUACAACACCAUUCUCCAUUCAAACGAGUGUUGAAUUUGACAAAGAAAAAUAAUCAUAAGAGUAACGUUGGGGUAAAUUUGAGGAACGUAGACAGAUUCUGACAUAAGCAAGCCUCCGUGAUGGGCAAUCAUAAUACAAAAAUAGUUAAAUUUCAACACAGAUACUGAAUAAAUAGGUCUCAAUUUUUGAACCUUCUCUUAAGAAAAACAUAUUUACUUUAAUUAUCUAAUAGACACAAUGUAUUUAAAUUAUUCUGCCAUUCAUAUAUAUACAUAUAAUGAUAUAUUUCACACAGAGAUCUUUCGUCACACAUCUGAUUCUCGGUGUUAUGUUUGUUUUGCCUUUGAACAUCUACUUAAUUCUGCAAGAAUUUAACCUUAUACAAUUCUUUUUAAAGUGGCCUCAAUUCUCUCUCACAUAGGUUAUUUCUUAAUUAAGAGCAACCCUUAUUAUGUGCUCAAAUUCUCAAUGCAUAAGAAUCAUUAAGAUCAUAACUCGUUCUUUCUCCUACAAGCAUCAUUAUAUCAUCAUAGAAAUAGAUACGAGGAACCCUUAUAGUGACCUGGCUUAGUCUUUAAUAACUGAGUUUUCCCUUUGAACUAUAACUCUAUGGGCUUUAGUCUUAUUUUCUUCUAUGAUUUUCUACUAUCUCUCUGUUUAAUUCUUUGGUUAGUGAAUUUACAAUGUUAUCCUUUGACUUCAUGUACUCAAUAAAAAUAACUACAAUAGAGAGUAAUUCCCUAAUGUUAAUUAUGUUUUUGACGUAUAUAUCUAGACUUACUAUUAUACAUAUUGCUUUGUGCGCUUCCAAUUACAGAUUGAUUAUCACAGUGAGUGCAAAUUGAUGGCACAAGUUUUGGCCAACUUGGAAUAUCCUCUAAGAAAUUUCGCAGCUAUUAUACUUUUUCACCAUAUUUAUCCAAUGCAAUGAAUUCAGAUUUUGUUAUAGAUCUAACUAUCACAGUUUUUUCUAGAGAAUUUCCAUGAAAUAAUUGUACCUGCUAGUGUAAACAUAUAGUCGUUGGUAGACUUUUAAGUCUUUCACAUAAGACAUCCACUUUGCUAUUCAUAUUAAUGUAUCAUUCUAGUACAAUUGAAUAUCUAGUAUAGUGCAUCCCGUAAUUUUGAGUAUGUUAUAAGCAUAUGAGUACCCUUACUAUUGCUUUCUUGUGGUUAGCCCCUGGUUACUGGUAUAUCUACUGAACUUCCUCAUUGUAAAAAUUGAGUUUGAUUUUAUAUAGCUUAUUAAGUACAUCAAAAUCUAUAUCACUCUAGAAUAUUCUAUUAAAGGAAUUUUAGUCACAACAAAAGUAUCUUUGUUGAAUUUACUAAGUUUUUUUUUCACAUAAUAUAAUUGACUAAGAAUAAGUCCAUUAGAAGUCCUUAAAUUUUUUAUUCUCAAGAUGACAUAUGCUAGAUCUCAUGUAUUUCAUGUCAAAUUUAUACUUCAACAUAUUCUUAGUAGACUUAACAAUUUUAUCAUUAUUCCCAACAUUGAGCAUGUCAUCAAUGUAAAGCCAUAAAAUAGCUUAGCUAUUUUCUAUCUCUUUGAUAUAUAUACUCAUAUUUCACGUUUGUUGAUCUUAAAACCAUUUGCCAUCAUCAUUUGGUCAAAAUUUUCUUAAAACCAUUUUGCAUAAUCCUUGGGUCAAAAUUCCCAUGCUUUCAAGCCAUAAUGACUUUACUAAUUUACAGACCUUAUUAUUAUUAUUAUUAUUAUUUUGGGAUUUUGGAGACUGUUCCAUAUAGAUUUCUUCAUCUAAGUCCCCAUUUAAAAGAUUUUUUUUACAUCCAUUUAAGUACUUCAAGAUUACAUAAAGUUGCAAUUGCAAGUAUCAUCCUAAUAUAAUUUAUUCUUGUUACAGAAGAAUAUAUAUCAAAAUCAUCAAAGCCUUUUUGUUGUUUAUAACCUUUAAUUACAACUCUAGCCUUAUAUUUGUUAAUUAAUCCAUCAACUUUCAUUUUUUCCUUGAUAUCACAUAGGUUUGCACCCUAGAUAAAGUUCCACAAACAUUUAAGUAUGAUUUUGUAAGAUAGAUUUAAUUUAACUGUUAAUGGCGUCUUUUCACAAAGUGUCUUCUCGUGAAAUUAUAAAUCUUCCUUGAAGCUUUGAGGUUCACUUUCCAGUAGCUCUUUUGUUACAUUUAAGUUCAAUCUCAACCUAUUAUUCAUAUUCUUAAAUUUCUUCUUGAUCUAGGUUCUGACUAUCUUCAACAAUAGGCUCAUGUGUUCAUUUAAUUGAACUCGAAUCAUCUUUGAAUUUACAAGUAAAUACAUGUUCAAAAAAUUAUGCAUUUCCUAAACAAUAGUUUUUGGUCCUAUCUUCAUAUUUGUAGGUGGAGAAAUGACCACUUUAGCAAGACACCUCAACACUCAUAAGAAUUUAUAGCAAGUUACUUUACCUUUCAAUAAUACGUAAGGAAUUAUCUCUUUUUCCUUUCAGGACACCUUAUUUAAAAGUAAUUAGCUAAUAAAAUCAACUUCUCUUUACAUAUCCUAAGGUACCCCAUAACCUAUCAAUAUUGCAUUCAUCAUUUUUUUCAAGGUAUGAUUUUUUUGUUAAGCAAUCCUAUUAGAUUGAUAUGAAUAAGGAGUUGUGAUUUGAUUUAUAACUCUAUAUUGUUAAUAGAGUGAUCCAAAUGGAACAACAUAUUCACCACCAUGAUUUCUUCUCAACACCUUCAUUUUUUUGUUUGGUUGAUUCUCAACUUCAUUUUAUAGAAAAUAAAUUUCUAAAUAAAUUCAUCCUUACUUUUCAACAAAUACACAUAACAAAAUUUUAUAUAGUCAUUAGUAUACAUUAAAAAAAAAUAUUUAUGCAUUUCUUAAUUAGAAUAUUAUAUUUAUGUGAAUAUCUGGUAUAUUCCACUUAUACACUAGAAAUCAAGAUGGAGGAAUGAUCACUUUAGCAAGAUACCCUCACACUUGUAAAUAUUUAUUAGAUGGCGUUGUACCUUUCUGUAAUUCAUAAGAGGUUUUCUCUAUUUCCUUUCGGAAUACUUUAUUUAAAAUGUAAUUAAAUAACUUCUCCUCACACAUCUAAGAUAACCCAAAACUUAUCAACAUUACAUUAAUCAUUUCUUUUAAGGUAUGAUAUUUUCUUUUAGCAAUCCCGUUAGAUUGAGCUAAAUAAGGAGAUGAGGUUUGAUGUAUGAUUUCUUGUUGUUAGCAAAGUGAUCCAAAUAGAACAACAUACUUACCACCAUGAUUAUUUCUCAACUCCAUCAUUUUAUUAUUUAGUUGAUUCUCAACUUCAUUUUUGUAUAGAAAAAAUUUUCUUUAUAGCUUUUUGUCUUUGUCUUUGUCUUUUAACAAAUACAUAUAACAAAAUUCACCCCUCGACUGAAUGGAUUUAAAGCACAUAUAUCGUUAUGUAUUAGAUCAAGUGGUUCAGUGCUCCUUUUAAUUAUUUGAGGGCAUACGAUUCCCUUAUGUUUUGUAUAAAUUUGUUAGUUUUGCCUCAACACAAGAUUCCCACAUAUGUUUUGUAUAAAUUUGGAAUAAGGAUAUAUGAUUUAUGUUAAUUAAUUUGUGAAAAUAAUUAUAAUUAACAUGUCCUAAUCUACCAUGCAAUAAAUCAAAUGACUCAAGAAAAUAAGGCUAAUAAUAUAGAUCAUGAAGAAAUUGCUUCGUUAUUCUUAAGUUCUACCUUAGCCACAAAAAUGAUAAUUUUCUUGUCAUUAUUUUUGUUGACUUAUUCAAUUUAAAGUCUUAUAAUUAGGUCUUCAAUGCUCAUUUCCUUUCUUUUAUACUUUGGAUAACUCUUCAAAUCUCAAUUUUGUUUCAAUUCAACAAAAAUUGAAUUGAAUGUCCACCCCUGCCCUAAGUGUCAGACAUUUUACUGAUCUUACUAGUUACCACUUUAACCAUUGAUGGUUGUUUGAUAUUGAUAAUAUAAAUACCUUCAAUUAUUUAAUUGAUAUUGUUGUUACACUAUACAGAUUUAAUUUCAAUUCAAUUCAAUCCUAGUGUAAUAAAAAGAAAAUGGCAAAAUCACCUUUAGUCUUUUCAUUUUUACUAAACAAAUUGGUGCGUUUUGAGAUUCAAUUUCUUAUUAACUCAAACACGAGUUUGAGUAUUUUAUGAUUAAAAGAGCUCACAGAGAAUAUUCUGAAUUAUCCAUGCAAGCAUAUUUCCUCAACAUAUAUCUUACUAAAAAUUGGCAUUAUAAUAAUUAUUUGUAUGUUAUUUUUUCAGCAUAUAUAUUGUUAAGCUUUCUUAUAUACUUAAGAGAUUUAGCAUGGGUUGUAAACAAAACAUUUGCAUUAGGUAUACACCCAACUUUCUUAGGGUGCAUUUGAAAGUAAGAUGCUAUAUCUUUUAAGUUGAAGUGGAUAAAACCCAUAACUGUGAAGUAAAACUGAGAAAAAAAAAACUGCUAAGCUGCCAAAACACAGUUGUAAGGUGUUACCAAACAACUUUUAUUUUUGAAUUACACAUCAUUCCCAAAUGCACCCUUAAAUUACUCAAUUGUUGUUUUCCUAUUUGUUUGUUAAAAUUAACACGUGUCCAUGUGUUUGCUUCAUCACUAAACACUGCCUCUUUAUUAUUCCCGUUGGAUAUGCCGAGGGCUGAUAGUUUCAUUCAUCUCCAAAGACUCAAACCUUUAGCAUAAAUUACUUAAACAAAAUAACAGUUGUAAAAUUUCGUUCCUUUUGUGUGUGUGUGUGUGUGUGUGUGUGUGUGUGUGUGUGUGUUACAAUUAUGAAAAUAAUAUAACUCUUAACAUCUUAUCAGGCUAGAGUAUGCUCUCACAUUUUGUUUAAUAUUGACUUAAUAUAUAUCAUACUCCAAAGUCCAAACAUAAGAUACAGCCCGUGCACGUUGAAAUUCCAUACCCACUACCCAGCAAAGAAAUAACAUGGGUUUUGUACUAUAUUUAAUUAAUUCCCACUAACCAACCCCUACGUAUAAUUAUUAGCCAAUUUUUUGAAUCAAAAUCUUGGUUUAUAAUAUGAUUUUUCAUCUCAUAAACAGAAUGUGCGUAAUUUCGUUUUUUUUUUCCUUUUUUUUAAUUUUUAAA